RNAcentral lists this ribosomal RNA (482 nucleotides) under uncultured bacterium. Its description in RNAcentral is "partial 16S ribosomal RNA". It matches the Rfam family "Bacterial small subunit ribosomal RNA", at positions 30 to 507 of the family's 1533-position model. The record is from RNAcentral.
AUUGAACGCUGGCGGCAUGCCUUACACAUGCAAGUCGAACGGUAACAGGUCUUCGGAUGCUGACGAGUGGCGAACGGGUGAGUAAUACAUCGGAACGUGCCCAGACGUGGGGGAUAACGAGGCGAAAGCUUUGCUAAUACCGCAUACGAUCUAAGGAUGAAAGCAGGGGACCGCAAGGCCUUGCGCGUUUGGAGCGGCCGAUGGCAGAUUAGGUAGUUGGUGGGAUAAAAGCUUACCAAGCCGACGAUCUGUAGCUGGUCUGAGAGGACGACCAGCCACACUGGGACUGAGACACGGCCCAGACUCCUACGGGAGGCAGCAGUGGGGAAUUUUGGACAAUGGGCGAAAGCCUGAUCCAGCAAUGCCGCGUGCAGGAUGAAGGCCUUUGGGUUGUAAACUGCUUUUGUACGGAACGAAAAGGCUCUGGCUAAUACCUGGGGCACAUGACGGUACCGUAAGAAUAAGCACCGGCUAACUACGUG